AGACUGCCCAGAACACAGGGGGCUCUGGGAUGGAAAGGAAUCCCAUUUGGUAAUUAAUGAAAGCUUCUAAUAAGAUUUAGUCUACUCAGCAAAUGCAGUGAGCUAGAUCUGCACUUGAAAAGACACUAACACACGCUGGUGAGGAUGGGGAGAAAAGAUAAUUCUUACAUACUGUUGAGGGGAAUGUAAAUUAGUACAGCCACUUUGGGCAACACUUUGGAGGUUCCUUAAAAAACUAAAAAUGGAGCUACCAUAUCAUCUAGUAAUCCCACCAUUGGGUAUAUACCCCCCAAAAAACGAAAUCAUGCAUCAAGAGAUAUCUCCACUUCUACGUUUGUUGCUGCACUGCUUACAAUAGCUGAGAUUUGGAAGCAACCUAAGUGUCCACCAAUGGAUAAGGAAAAUGCAGUCAUACACUCAACCAUACUAUUACUAUUCAACCAUAAAAAGAAUGAGAUUCUAUCAUUUGCAAUAAUAUGCAUGGAACUGGACAACGUUGUGUUAAGUAAAAUAAGCCAGGCACAGGAAGGCAAACACAAAAAUACAGCUUUUUGCAGCUUUGGUUGUGGAAUCUAAAAAUCAAAACAAUUAAGCUCAUGAACAUAGAGAAUACAAGGAUGGUUACCAGAGGCUGGGAAGGAUAGUGGGGAGCUGCUGGGGAGUUAGGUAUGGUUAACAGGUACAAAAAAAAUUUAGAAAGAAUGAAUCAGACCGACUAUUUGAUACCACAAUAGGGUGACUGUGUGUUAUUUUUAAAUGUACAGUUAUUAAAGAGUAUAAUUAGAUUGCUUGUAACUCAAAGGAUAAAUGCUGGGUGGGAUGGAUACAUCAUUCCCCAUGAGGUACUUAUUUGAUACAGUAUGCCUGCAUCAACACAUUUCAUGUGCCCCAUAAAUACAUACCCCUAAUAUGUACACCAAAAUUUUAAAAAAAUAAAAAUAAACUAAAAGAGAUAGAGACAAUCGGGCGAUGCUCCCUGAGGCAUUGCCUGUGAAGCCAGCAGUGGGCAGCAUCUCCAUUCUCUGUUUUAUGGGCCCAGGAGCUAACUGCAGGCAAGGCAGGGUGAAUGGGUUAUCACAAAGGGAUAUAGUGGCUUUGCUGUCAAUAAAAAUUAGUGAGAAUAAAGAAAAAUUAUUAAAGUGUUUUUUAAAGCAAGUGGGAAAUACAGUUUUCUGCAACUUUGGAAAGUUUCCUUGCAUGCAGUGUUCUCCCCCCUUUUCAAUCCUUUGAGGCCUCCUUAGGGGUUCCUUCUGGGUUUUAUCCACUUAUCGAUUGAGCAAGUAGUGUCAAAGUGUCAGUAGAUGCCACUGUGCUAACAUAAGUGUUCAUGGAAAUAAAAUUAACAGUGCAUCUCUGCCUCAAAGACUAUGCGAUCUAUUAUUAAAGAUAGGAAAAUAGAGGAUUGCAACCUGAUAUUGGUUCUAUGGUAGUUAAGCACAGCUCAAACCAGAGGGAAGGUAAACAAGAAACCCUCCUGAUGAAGAUACUUCGAACAAAUGUGAUUCUGUCUCCUAACUUUCCCUGGAUGUGGCAAAGCACUUACUCUGCUUUUACCUGCCUACACCUGGGUGGCUGUGCAUGUUGAGGAUAUAUUCGUAAACAGUUUGUGCUUUGGCAGAUGGAAACAUGCUAUUGCGAAAUAGUAGCUCUAUUGUAGACUUGAAGGUGGGAUGAGAAGCAUUUAUAAGAGACAUUUAUUUGCAGAGGAGACUUGCCCAAGCCUCCCUUAUUGCAAGCCAUUGGCUCAAAUGAAGACUCACAAGGAAGCAGACCUCCCACCCAGUGUUCGGUCAGAAGUGACAGAACUGGCUCCCAAACCAAGUGCUACCACGUGAAUGUGACACUCGUUUCUCUUGCUCCAUCUCCAGUAGCAAUCUUUUGUUCUACUGCCCACAAUUUAAGCUCUAAGGUUACAUAAUUUUAUAAGACAUAUUUUAUGAAAGACAAAUUCUUGACAAAUUAAGCAAUUCGUAAUGUUAACAAUUACUUCUACCUAUUUGUGCCCCCUCAACGUUCAAACUCGUGGUUGCCAUUAUAACUUUUUGGAAUUGGUUUCUUGCCUGUCUGCUUUAUGUUUUUGACCUGGUAUUUCACUCCUCUUCUGAAUCAGUUUCCUGCCUCAAACUCCACGGCUUCUUCGAGGGCUGUGUGUCUUAACUAAAACCAUUCUUUCCCUUCAUCGGGUUCAAAGAAGGAAGCUCUAUCAUGAGUCACUCUGAAUAGGCAAACCUCCUCUUAAUAAAACUACCUAACUUCAGUCUCCCAAUUGUCUAGUUGUUCAUUCACCGAUUUGUUUAUAACAGACAGAAGGGACAAGAAAUAAGAGACCAUAUGCAAUGAAUGCAUACAACCAAGCGAACAUACUUCAUAAUUACGCCAAAGUAUCACAUCACAGUCAGCCCAACACUUUACACAUUCUACUUUAUACUUCUAGUUCUGGGGGGGAAA
This is a long non-coding RNA of Macaca fascicularis (crab-eating macaque), 2448 nucleotides long. The record is from Ensembl. Lineage: Eukaryota; Metazoa; Chordata; Mammalia; Primates; Cercopithecidae.